GAUGAACGCUAGCGGCAGGCCUAACACAUGCAAGUCGAGGGGCAGCACAGGUAGCAAUACUGGGUGGCGACCGGCGGAUGGGUGCGUAACGCGUAUGCAACCUACCAUUGAUUGGGGCAUAGCCCGAAGAAAUUCGGAUUAAUACUCCAUAAUAUUCAUCAAAGGCAUCUUUUAUGAACUAAAGCUUUUGCGAUCAAUGAUGGGCAUGCGUGACAUUAGUUAGUUGGUGAGGUAACGGCUCACCAAAACGAUGAUGUCUAGGGGUUCUGAGAGGAUUAUCCCCCACACCGGUACUGAGACACGGACCAGACUCCUACGGGAGGCAGCAGUGAGGAAUAUUGGUCAAUGGACGCAAGUCUGAACCAGCCAUGCCGCGUGCAGGAUGACGGCCCUAUGGGUUGUAAACUGCUUUUCCACGGGAAGAACCCUCCGACGUGUCGGAGACUGACGGUACCGUGGGAAUAAGCAUCGGCUAACUCCGUG
This 483-nucleotide ribosomal RNA is filed under the name uncultured bacterium. RNAcentral describes it as "bacterial SSU rRNA". It matches the Rfam family "Bacterial small subunit ribosomal RNA", at positions 28 to 507 of the family's 1533-position model. The record is from RNAcentral.